Molecule: long non-coding RNA, 1391 nt
Organism: Danio aesculapii
Lineage: Eukaryota; Metazoa; Chordata; Actinopteri; Cypriniformes; Danionidae
Exons: 7
Source: RefSeq, a predicted model, not a curated record
ACAUGGAGGAGAGAGGACGUUCACUUAGCAGCCUGGCUAAUGUAGCCCGUGGCUCGCAAAAUAUUACGAAAUUAACAACAUUUUUCACCUGGAAAGUGAACUGACUUGCCUGGGGCGUCCAAAAAUGAUGAAAGAAACUCAUAACCACUUGAGGGAGAGUAAAAGAUGAGGUUGAAAUACCCUUGUUAGAGCCUAUUUUGUGGCACUACAGCAUCUCUUUGUGUAACCUGUGUCACGGGGUUUCUGCAAGGAGAAAGAAAAACAUUGAAGAUGUGAGCAGUCCCACAAAGAGGCUUGAUCUUCAAAAUGGUGGAGCUUGUUGUUUCCUGAGUCUGAGUGAAGAGGUUGUGUAUCAGAUAACCGUACCCUCUGUUGGCGGACUCAAAUUGGACUGAAUUCCUCAGUAAAGUGGUCUCUCAUCUCUAUCAUGGGACGCGUUGUACUUCAUGGUUACUGGGUGGUCCUGUCACAGAGGGCAGCAGGCCAGGCACACGUGUACCAGUGCUCUAAAGAAGGCCAGUUCAGUGGAAACUAGCAAGCAAACACUCCAAAAAGGACACGCGCUGCCUCAAUGUCAGCAAAUAUUUGGUCACAACUUCAAAGAGCAGUGACAGCCAUUUGAAACUGCGGAUCGGCCUCGUGUUUGUCACUGUGAGAGCAGGUGGAAUGUGCCACGUGGCAACAUGUUUUGGAGGCAGGCUGUGACGUAACAAUACACUGCUGUCACCUGCAUGUCCAGCUGUGCUGGUGGCUCAGAGAAGUGGACUAAUGAGGGUCCUGAGGUGAAUCUGAUGGAUUGAAUGAAGUGUAAUUAGAAAGAUGGAUUGUCACUUAAGUGUGACAGCCAGCUCAUUCCGUCCCUGAAGUGGUCACAAAUCUGCCUACUAGUUUAUUAGGACUCUAUGGCCAAAAAAUAUAUAAUGAUAUCAUUAAAAUAGGGUAAAAUAUUGAGGUCUACAACUUGUUCCCUCUAAGGGUUUGGAUAAUAAAGAACAGCUCACAAAGUAUAUUUAUCUGGGUGUAGUCUGGCAGUUUAUACAGGUGUGUAUUAUUUGUCUGUCUUUCUAUAUGAUAUAUUCUGACUUUUUGACUUUUGAAUGAAAUUUUACCCUGUAUUUCCUGUAUGCAGAUACAUUGAAAUGCAUAAUGUGUUUAUCUGAGACAAAAGAGUUAAAGCACACAGCAUAGAUUCAUAUCUCAGCAUGUCAAUGUACAGUAUUCUCAUGAGUAUUUGUAUUCACAUCAAAUGUGGUUCUACCAAAUAUAUUUACUGUACUUAUUAAAAAGCACUGAAAUAUUGUCUUAACACAUUGACACACACAAUAUUGUGGUAUGGAUAAUAUCUAAAAUGCAUUGUUUUUGUAUGAUCAUGUCAAUAAACUCACAAAAAA